GCAAGUGUCCUGAGGCAAUGUGGACC
RNAcentral lists this unclassified non-coding RNA (26 nucleotides) under Mus musculus (house mouse). RNAcentral describes it as "oocyte_clustered_small_RNA9311". The record is from RNAcentral. Lineage: Eukaryota; Metazoa; Chordata; Mammalia; Rodentia; Muridae.